GUGGUUGCGGCUUAGUAGUAGAGUGCUCGCCUAGCAUGUGUGAGGCCCUGGGUUCGAUCCUCAGCACCACA
This 71-nucleotide transfer RNA is filed under the name Ictidomys tridecemlineatus (thirteen-lined ground squirrel). Its description in RNAcentral is "Spermophilus tridecemlineatus (thirteen-lined ground squirrel) tRNA". It matches the Rfam family "tRNA". Rfam says of the family: Transfer RNA (tRNA) molecules are approximately 80 nucleotides in length. Lineage: Eukaryota; Metazoa; Chordata; Mammalia; Rodentia; Sciuridae. The record is from Rfam by way of RNAcentral.